AUUGAACGCUGGCGGCAUGCUUUACACAUGCAAGUCGAACGGUAACAGGCCUUCGGGUGCUGACGAGUGGCGAACGGGUGAGUAAUGCAUCGGAACGUACCCAGAGGUGGGGGAUAACGCAGCGAAAGCUGUGCUAAUACCGCAUGUGAUCUGAGGAUGAAAGCGGGGGACCGAGCAGCAAUGUUUGGCCUCGCGCCUUUGGAGCGGCCGAUGUGGGAUUAGCUAGUUGGUGGGGUAAAGGCCUACCAAGGCGACGAUCCGUAGCUGGUCUGAGAGGACGACCAGCCACACUGGGACGGGGACACGGCCCAGACUCCUACGGGAGGCAGCAGUGGGGAAUUUUGGACAAUGGGCGCAAGCCUGAUCCAGCAAUGCCGCGUGCGGGAAGAAGGCCUUCGGGUUGUAAACCGCUUUUGGCAGGAACGAAACGGUGUCCGCUAAUACCGGGCGCUAAUGACGGUACCUGCAGAAUAAGCACCGGCUAACUACGUG
This 492-nucleotide ribosomal RNA is filed under the name uncultured bacterium. RNAcentral's name for it is "partial 16S ribosomal RNA". It matches the Rfam family "Bacterial small subunit ribosomal RNA", at positions 29 to 507 of the family's 1533-position model. The record is from RNAcentral.